UACGAAGGCGGCUAGCGUUGCUCGGAAUCACUGGGCGUAAAGGGUGCGUAGGCGGGUCUUUAAGUUAGAGGUGAAAGCCCGGGGCUCAACUCCGGAAUUGCCUUUAAGACUGCAUCGCUAGAAUCCGGGAGAGGUGAGUGGAAUUCCGAGUGUAGAGGUGAAAUUCGUAGAUAUUCGGAAGAACACCAGUGGCGAAGGCGGCUCACUGGACCGGUAUUGACGCUGAGGUGCGAAAGCGUGGGGAGCAAACAGG
This 253-nucleotide ribosomal RNA is filed under the name uncultured bacterium. Its description in RNAcentral is "partial 16S ribosomal RNA". It matches the Rfam family "Bacterial small subunit ribosomal RNA", at positions 524 to 776 of the family's 1533-position model. The record is from RNAcentral.